Molecule: ribosomal RNA, 447 nt
Filed under: uncultured bacterium
Lineage: Bacteria
Description: partial 16S ribosomal RNA
Rfam family: Bacterial small subunit ribosomal RNA
Source: RNAcentral
CCAGACUCCUACGGGAGGCAGCAGUGGGGAAUAUUGCACAAUGGGGGGAACCCUGAUGCAGCGACGCCGCGUGGGCGAGGAAGUAUUUCGGUAUGUAAAGCCCUAUCGGCAGGGAAGAAGAAAUGACGGUACCUGAAGAAGAAGCCCCGGCUAACUACGUGCCAGCAGCCGCGGUAAUACGUAGGGGGCAAGCGUUAUCCGGAUUUACUGGGUGUAAAGGGGGCGCAGACGGCGAUGCAAGCCAGGAGUGAAAGCCCGGGGCCCAACCCCGGGACUGCUCUUGGAACUGCGUGGCUGGAGUGCAGGAGGGGCAGGCGGAAUUCCUGGUGUAGCGGUGAAAUGCGUAGAUAUCAGGAGGAACACCGGUGGCGAAGGCGGCCUGCUGGACUGCAACUGACGUUGAGGCCCGAAAGCGUGGGGAGCAAACAGGAUUAGAUACCCUCGUAA